Molecule: ribosomal RNA, 433 nt
Filed under: uncultured bacterium
Lineage: Bacteria
Description: partial 16S ribosomal RNA
Rfam family: Bacterial small subunit ribosomal RNA
Source: RNAcentral
AACGAACGCUGGCGGCAUGCCUAACACAUGCAAGUCGAACGAGACCUUCGGGUCUUUUGGCGCAUGGGUGCGUAACGCGUGGGAACAUGCCCUUAGGGUCGGCAUAACUCUCCGAAAGGGGUGCUAAUACCGGAUAAUGUCUUCGGACCAAAGAUGUAUCGCCUUUGGAUGGUCCCGCGUUGGAUUAGCUUGUUGGUAGGGUAAAAGCCUACCAAGGCGAGGAUCCAUACCUUGUCUGAGAGGAUGGUCAGCCACACUGGGACUGGGACACGGCCCAGACUCGUACGAGAGGGGGGAGAGGGGGAUAUAGGACCGCGGGCGGAAGGCUGAUGCAGCGCGGCCGGGAGAACGAUGAAGGGCUUGGAGUUGUAAUGCGCUAGUAACCAGGCUGAUAAUGACGGUACCGAGAGAAUAAGCUCCGGCUAACUACGUG